This 401-nucleotide ribosomal RNA is filed under the name uncultured bacterium. Its description in RNAcentral is "bacterial SSU rRNA". It matches the Rfam family "Bacterial small subunit ribosomal RNA", at positions 355 to 773 of the family's 1533-position model. The record is from RNAcentral.
UGGGGAAUAUUGGACAAUGGGGGAAACCCUGAUCCAGCCAUGCCGCGUGUGUGAUGAAGGCCUUCGGGUUGUAAAGCACUUUCGCACGUGAAGAUGAUGACGGUAACGUGAGAAGAAGCCCCGGCUAACUUCGUGCCAGCAGCCGCGGUAAUACGAAGGGGGCAAGCGUUGUUCGGAAUUACUGGGCGUAAAGGGCGCGUAGGCGGUGCACUAAGUCAGGCGUGAAAGCCCUGGGCUCAACCCGGGAAUUGCGCUUGAUACUGGUGCGCUUGAAUCCAGGAGAGGUUGGUGGAAUUCCCAGUGUAGAGGUGAAAUUCGUAGAGAUUGGGAAGAACACCGGUGGCGAAGGCGGCCAACUGGACUGGUAUUGACGCUGAGGCGCGAAAGCGUGGGGAGCAAAC